Molecule: long non-coding RNA, 2078 nt
Organism: Homo sapiens (human)
Lineage: Eukaryota; Metazoa; Chordata; Mammalia; Primates; Hominidae
Source: Ensembl
GCGGGCGCCCCGUGAAGCCCACCUGGAUCCGCCAGCGCUGUGCCACUCCCCAGUGCCGAGCUCCGAGCUGUCUCCGCGGCCUCGCGCCCGGCCCCUCCACCGCGCACCUCUUAGGCCCCGCCCGCCAGCGUCCCUUUGUUGUGAAGGCGCCGGGGCCUAGCGCUAUGCCUGCGGCGGAGACUGCAUCAGGCUCUCGUCCUCGGGCUCCACCCGGGGAGCUGUGCCCAGACAGCAGAAGGGAAGGAUGUCACUUCUGAGAUGAGGUUCAGAAAGGCCUGGGCUCCUGUCCUGGCUGCUCUCUCCCACUCCCUGAUGAGCUUGCUGGAUGAAAGCUCCUGUCAGGCUGUGGGGCGUCCUGUGGAGAAGCUGGCAAGAAACUGGUGGGGGCCCUUUCCACCUAUAGCCAGCAAGGAACUGAACCCAGCCAGCGUCCACCUGAGUGAGCUCAGAGGUGGGCCUCAGCCCCAGUUGAGCCUUCGGAUGAGGUCACAGCCCUGGUCCAUGGUGUGACUGCAGCUUCAGGAGGGACCUUAAGCCAGAGGUGCCUGGCUAAGCUUCCCGCAGAUUGCUGCCCCACAGGAGCCAACAUCAAAAGCAUUUGUUGUUUUGAGGUGCGUCUGCUUCUACGCUUUGCCUGGGAGAGGCCCUGGUGGCCUCGUUCCUGGCGCCCGGAGUCCCUGCUGCGGCCCCACCCCCGGGCGGUCACGGUGACCCAUGCUGCCCAGCCUGGAGGUAAAAUCGUUCGUGGCUGUGGCUUCAGCAUGUCGUCCUCGGUGAAAACCCCAGCACUGGAAGAGCUGGUUCCUGGCUCCGAAGAGAAGCCGAAAGGCAGGUCGCCUCUCAGCUGGGGCUCUCUGUUUGGUCACCGAAGUGAGAAGAUUGUUUUUGCCAAGAGCGACGGCGGCACAGAUGAGAACGUACUGACCGUCACCAUCACGGAGACCACGGUCAUCGAGUCAGACUUGGGUGUGUGGAGCUCGCGGGCGCUGCUCUACCUCACGCUGUGGUUCUUCUUCAGCUUCUGCACGCUCUUCCUCAACAAGUACAUCCUGUCCCUGCUGGGAGGCGAGCCCAGCAUGCUAGGUGCGGUGCAGAUGCUGUCCACCACGGUUAUCGGGUGUGUGAAAACCCUCGUUCCUUGCUGUUUAUAUCAGCACAAGGCCCGGCUUUCCUACCCACCCAACUUCCUUAUGACGAUGCUGUUUGUGGGUCUGAUGAGGUUUGCAACUGUGGUUUUGGGUUUGGUCAGCCUGAAAAAUGUGGCGGUUUCGUUUGCUGAGACGGUGAAGAGCUCCGCCCCCAUCUUCACGGUGAUCAUGUCUCGGAUGAUUCUGGGGGAGUACACAGGACGUCCCAGUGAUCGGGAGGAGCGGGAAGAGCUUCAGCUACAACCAGGACGUGGUGCUGCUGCUUCUGACAGACGGAGUCCUGUUCCACCUUCAGAGCGUCACGGCGUACGCCCUCAUGGGGAAAAUCUCCCCGGUGACUUUCAGGCCCAGUAAAUGCGGAUGUUUAUCUUCCAUUGUUUGUUUCCUGAGAUUCAGAUGUCUAAAGCAUUUUUCUGUGACUUUUCAAGGCAAGAGGAAAACCUGACAUAUGGAAAGGGAAUUAAUUGCUCGUUUUAUCCUCUUCUCCUGCAAUGCUCUGAAUCCAUGGGUUUGGAGUGGGGCCCUGGGAGUUGGGGGAAGCACCAUACCCAGUGAGUCUGCACUUUGAGGACCCACUGCCAGUGUCAGCUUCAAAAUCACAUUGUAAAAGGCCCGGCGCGGUGGCUCACGCCUGUAAUCCCAGCACUUUAGGAGGACGAAGCAGGCGGAUCACUUGAGGUCAGGAGUUCGAGACCAGCCUGGCCAAUAUGGCGAAACCUCGUCUCUACCAAAAAUAUAAAAAUUAGCCGGGCGUGGUGGCGCGGGCCUGUGGUUCCAGCUACUCGGGAGGCUGAGGCAGGAAAAUUCCUUGAACCCGGGAGGAGGCUGCAGUGAGCCAAGACCACGCCACUGCACUCCAACCUGGGCGGCAGAGCAAGGCUCCGACUCAAAAGUAAAUACAUGAAUAAAUAAAAUAAAAUCACAUCGUAA